RNAcentral lists this ribosomal RNA (420 nucleotides) under uncultured bacterium. Its description in RNAcentral is "bacterial SSU rRNA". It matches the Rfam family "Bacterial small subunit ribosomal RNA", at positions 358 to 774 of the family's 1533-position model. The record is from RNAcentral.
GGGAUAUUGGGCAAUGGGGGGAACCCUGACCCAGCCAUGCCGCGUGAGGGAAGUAGGCCCUACGGGUCGUGAACCUCUUUUGACCGGGGACAAGGGCGCGCACGCGAUGCACGCUUGAGGGUACCGGUAGAAUAAGCGUCGGCUAACUCCGUGCCAGCAGCCGCGGUAAUACGGAGGACGCGAGCGUUAUCCGGAUUCAUUGGGUUUAAAGGGUGCGCAGGCGGCCGUGCAAGUCAGCGGUGAAAGCCCGGGGCCCAACCCCGGAAGUGCCGUUGAUACUGUGCGGCUGGAAUGCGGUCGAGGCGGGCGGAACGUGGCGUGUAGCGGUGAAAUGCGUAGAUAUGCCACAGAACGCCGAUAGCGGAGGCAGCUCGCCAGGCCUGCAUUGACGCUCGGGCACGAAAGCGUGGGGAUCGAACA